GACGUAGGGCGCGAGCGUUGCCCGGAUUUAUUGGGCGUAAAGAGCUCGUAGGCGGCUUGUCGCGUCGACUGUGAAAACCCACGGCUCAACUGUGGGCUUGCAGUCGAUACGGGCAGGCUAGAGUUCGGUAGGGGAGACUGGAAUUCCUGGUGUAGCGGUGAAAUGCGCAGAUAUCAGGAGGAACACCGGUGGCGAAGGCGGGUCUCUGGGCCGAUACUGACGCUGAGGAGCGAAAGCGUGGGGAGCGAACAGG
This 253-nucleotide ribosomal RNA is filed under the name uncultured bacterium. Its description in RNAcentral is "partial 16S ribosomal RNA". It matches the Rfam family "Bacterial small subunit ribosomal RNA", at positions 524 to 776 of the family's 1533-position model. The record is from RNAcentral.